RNAcentral lists this ribosomal RNA (406 nucleotides) under uncultured bacterium. RNAcentral's name for it is "partial 16S ribosomal RNA". It matches the Rfam family "Bacterial small subunit ribosomal RNA", at positions 29 to 526 of the family's 1533-position model. The record is from RNAcentral.
AGUGAACGCUGGCGGUAGGCCUAACACAUGCAAGUCGAACGAGUGGCGGACGGGUGAGGAAUGCAUCGGAAUCUACCCUGUCGUGGGGGAUAACGUAUGGAAACUUUCGCUAAUACCGCAUACGAUUGGAUGAGCCGAUGUGGGAUUAGCUAGUUGGUGGGGUAAAGGCCCACCAAGGCGACGAUCCGUAGCUGGUCUGAGAGGAUGAACAGCCACACUGGAACUGAGACACGGUCCAGACUCCUACGGGAGGCAGCAGUGGGGAAUAUUGGACAAUGGGCGCAAGCCUGAUCCAGCCAUACCGCGUGGGUGAAGAAGGCCUUCGGGUUGUAAAGCCCUUUAAGUUGGGAGGCGUUACCAACAGAAUAAGCACCGGCUAACUUCGUGCCAGCCGCCGCGGUAAUAC